UACGGGAGGCAGCAGUGGGGAAUAUUGUACAAUGGAGGAAACUCUGAUACAGCAACGCCGCGUGAGUGAUGAAGGUUUUAGGAUUGUAAAGCUCUGUCUUUGGGGACGAAGAAAGUGACGGUACCCAAGGAGGAAGCCCCGGCUAACUACGUGCCAGCAGCCGCGGUAAU
This 170-nucleotide ribosomal RNA is filed under the name uncultured rumen bacterium. Its description in RNAcentral is "partial 16S ribosomal RNA". It matches the Rfam family "Bacterial small subunit ribosomal RNA", at positions 340 to 524 of the family's 1533-position model. The record is from RNAcentral.